This 489-nucleotide ribosomal RNA is filed under the name uncultured bacterium. RNAcentral describes it as "partial 16S ribosomal RNA". It matches the Rfam family "Bacterial small subunit ribosomal RNA", at positions 30 to 506 of the family's 1533-position model. The record is from RNAcentral.
AUUGAACGCUGGCGGCAUGCUUUACACAUGCAAGUCGGACGGCAGCACAGAGAAGCUUGCUUCUUGGGUGGCGAGUGGCGAACGGGUGAGUAACAUAUCGGAACGUACCGAGCAGUGGGGGAUAACUAAUCGAAAGAUUAGCUAAUACCGCAUAUUUUCUGAGGAAGAAAGCAGGGGACCUUUGGGCCUUGAGCUGUUUGAGCGGCCGAUAUCUGAUUAGCUAGUUGGUGGGGUAAAGGCCUACCAAGGCGACGAUCAGUAGCGGGUCUGAGAGGAUGAUCCGCCACACUGGGACUGAGACACGGCCCAGACUCCUACGGGAGGCAGCAGUGGGGAAUUUUGGACAAUGGGCGCAAGCCUGAUCCAGCCAUGCCGCGUGUCUGAAGAAGGCCUUCGGGUUGUAAAGGACUUUUGUCAGGGAAGAAAAGGGCGGGGUUAAUACCCCUGUCUGAUGACGGUACCUGAAGAAUAAGCACCGGCUAACUACGU